CUCCGAACCGUCCUUCCACUCCAGGAUGGUGUGGAUCAUGGGAAUACCGAAAGCUAACGUCUUACCACUUCCUGCAAUUACAAAACGGCUUCAGUGAGCAACAUUUAGGUCUUCCUGAAAAACCCCAAAAGAACUGGAAUAAAAAAAAACUGUAUACAA
Long non-coding RNA from Xiphophorus hellerii (green swordtail), 159 nucleotides. RefSeq lists it as uncharacterized. The record is from RefSeq and is a predicted model, not a curated record. Lineage: Eukaryota; Metazoa; Chordata; Actinopteri; Cyprinodontiformes; Poeciliidae. The transcript is spliced from 2 exons.